AUUGAACGCUGGCGGCAGGCUUAACACAUGCAAGUCGAGCGAGCGGCGGACGGGUGAGUAAUGUCUGGGAAACUGCCUGAUGGAGGGGGAUAACUACUGGAAACGGUAGCUAAUACCGCAUACCAUCAGAUGUGCCCAGAUCGGAUUAGCUAGUAGGUGGGUUAAUGGCUCACCUAGGCGACGAUCCCUAGCUGGUCUGAGAGGAUGACCAGCCACCCUGGAACUGAGACACGGCCCAGACUCCUACGGGAGGCAGCAGUGGGGACUAUUGCAGUAUGGGCGCAAGCCUGAUGCAGCAAUGCGGCGUGUGUGAAGAAGGCCGUCGGGUUGGAAAGCACUUUCAGCUAGGAGGCGUUACUCGCAGAAGAAGCACCGGCUAACUCCGUGCCAGCAGCCGCGGUAAUUC
Molecule: ribosomal RNA, 406 nt
Filed under: uncultured bacterium
Lineage: Bacteria
Description: partial 16S ribosomal RNA
Rfam family: Bacterial small subunit ribosomal RNA
Source: RNAcentral